This 490-nucleotide ribosomal RNA is filed under the name uncultured bacterium. RNAcentral's name for it is "partial 16S ribosomal RNA". It matches the Rfam family "Bacterial small subunit ribosomal RNA", at positions 30 to 507 of the family's 1533-position model. The record is from RNAcentral.
AUUGAACGCUGGCGGCAGGCCUAACACAUGCAAGUCGAAUGGUAACAGGAAACAGCUUGCUGUUUCGCUGACGAGUGGCGGACGGGUGAGUAAUGUCUGGGAAACUGCCUGAUGGAGGGGGAUAACUACUGGAAACGGUAGCUAAUACCGCAUAACGUCGCAAGACCAAAGAGGGGGACCUUCGGGCCUCUUGCCAUCAGAUGUGCCCAGAUGGGAUUAGCUAGUAGGUGGGGUAACGGCUCACCUAGGCGACGAUCCCUAGCUGGUCUGAGAGGAUGACCAGCCACACUGGAACUGAGACACGGUCCAGACUCCUACGGGAGGCAGCGGUGGGGAAUAUUGCACAAUGGGCGCAAGCCUGAUGCAGCCAUGCCGCGUGUAUGAAGAAGGCCUUCGGGUUGUAAAGUACUUUCAGCGGGGAGGAAGGGAGUAAAGUUAAUACCUUUGCUCAUUGACGUUACCCGCAGAAGAAGCACCGGCUAACUCCGUG